This 29-nucleotide non-coding RNA is filed under the name Cricetulus griseus (Chinese hamster). The record is from RNAcentral. Lineage: Eukaryota; Metazoa; Chordata; Mammalia; Rodentia; Cricetidae.
GUUGGAGCCUGGGGCAGGCCAAGAGGGCC